UACGUAGGGUGCAAGCGUUAAUCGGAAUUACUGGGCGUAAAGCGCGCGCAGGCGGUUUCGUAAGUCUGUCGUGAAAGCCCCGGGCUCAACCUGGGAAUUGCGAUGGAGACUGCAAGGCUUGAAUCUGGCAGAGGGGGGUAGAAUUCCACGUGUAGCAGUGAAAUGCGUAGAGAUGUGGAGGAACACCGAUGGCGAAGGCAGCCCCCUGGGUCAAGAUUGACGCUCAUGCACGAAAGCGUGGGGAGCAAACAGG
Molecule: ribosomal RNA, 253 nt
Filed under: uncultured bacterium
Lineage: Bacteria
Description: partial 16S ribosomal RNA
Rfam family: Bacterial small subunit ribosomal RNA
Source: RNAcentral